Molecule: ribosomal RNA, 497 nt
Filed under: uncultured bacterium
Lineage: Bacteria
Description: partial 16S ribosomal RNA
Rfam family: Bacterial small subunit ribosomal RNA
Source: RNAcentral
GAUGAACGCUGGCGGCGUGCCUAAUACAUGCAAGUCGAGCGAACGGACGAGAAGCUUGCUUCUCUGAUGUUAGCGGCGGACGGGUGAGUAACACGUGGAUAACCUACCUAUAAGACUGGGAUAACUUCGGGAAACCAGAGCUAAUACCGGAUGAUAUUUUGAACCGCAUGGUUCAAAAGUGAAAGACGGUCUUGCUGUCACUUAUAGAUGGAUCCGCGCUGCAUUAGCUAGUUGGUAAGGUAACGGCUUACCAAGGCAACGAUGCAUAGCCGACCUGAGAGGGUGAUCGGCCACACUGGAACUGAGACACGGUCCAGACUCCUACGGGAGGCAGCAGUAGGGAAUCUUCCGCAAAGGGCGAAAGCCUGACGGAGCAACGCCGCGUGAGUGAUGAAGGUCUUCGGAUCGUAAAACUCUGUUAUUAGGGAAGAACAUAUGUGUAAGUAACUGUGCACAUCUUGACGGUACCUAAUCAGAAAGCCACGGCUAACUACGUG